RNAcentral lists this ribosomal RNA (88 nucleotides) under Photobacterium carnosum. Lineage: Bacteria; Pseudomonadati; Pseudomonadota; Gammaproteobacteria; Vibrionales; Vibrionaceae. The record is from RNAcentral.
CUGAUCCCAUGCCGAACUCAGUAGUGAAACGUAAUAGCGCCGAUGGUAGUGUGGGGUCUCCCCAUGUGAGAGUAGGACAUCGCCAGGC